This 74-nucleotide transfer RNA is filed under the name Bacteroides ovatus. RNAcentral's name for it is "tRNA-Pseudo-CCC". It matches the Rfam family "tRNA". Rfam says of the family: Transfer RNA (tRNA) molecules are approximately 80 nucleotides in length. Their secondary structure includes four short double-helical elements and three loops (D, anti-codon, and T loops). The record is from RNAcentral. Lineage: Bacteria; Pseudomonadati; Bacteroidota; Bacteroidia; Bacteroidales; Bacteroidaceae.
GCGGCUUUCGUAUAACGGUAGUACAUAAGUCUCCCUGACUUGAAGUCUUGGUUCGAAUCCAGGAAACCAUUCUA